GCUCGCGUUUUCACACAAACCCCCCUUUUAAAAGUGUAGAAUGACCUCAUGUAUGCGUUAACCCGCAAUCAAUACAACUUUCAACAACGGAUCUCUUGGCUCUCGCAUCGAUGAAGAACGCAGCGAAAUGCGAUACGUAAUGUGAAUUGCAGAAUUCAGUGAAUCAUCGAAUCUUUGAACGCACCUUGCGCCCCUUGGUAUUCCGAGGGGCACACCCGUUUGAGUGUCGUGAAAACCUCAACCUCCUUGGUUUCUUCUGGAGACCAAAGCAGGCUUGGACUUUGGAGGCCUUUGCUGGCACCUCUCUUUCUGAAGGCCAGCUCCUCAUUAAACAAAUUAGCAGGGUCCUCUUUGCUGAUCCUCGACGUGUGAUAAGAUGUUUCCAUGUCUUGGUUUCUGGCUCUGUCACCUUUGGGACCUGCUUCUAACUGUCCGGACCUUGCGUCGAGACAACGUUCGAGCAUGUGCCUCCCUUCUUGGGAAGCUCCCUCGACCCCACGAACCCUUGACCUCAAAUCGGGUGAGACUACCCGCUGAACUUAAGCAUAUCAAU
RNAcentral lists this ribosomal RNA (553 nucleotides) under uncultured Lactarius. RNAcentral's name for it is "eukaryotic LSU rRNA". The stretch from base 76 to 229 matches the Rfam family "5.8S ribosomal RNA". Lineage: Eukaryota; Fungi; Basidiomycota; Agaricomycetes; Russulales; Russulaceae. The record is from RNAcentral.